UCUUAGGUGACUGAGUGAAAGUGCUAGAUUUUUAAUCUAGAGACAGCAUGUAUAAAGAUGCUCCUAGGAA
This 70-nucleotide transfer RNA is filed under the name Conus venulatus. Its description in RNAcentral is "tRNA-Lys". It matches the Rfam family "tRNA". Rfam says of the family: Transfer RNA (tRNA) molecules are approximately 80 nucleotides in length. The record is from RNAcentral. Lineage: Eukaryota; Metazoa; Mollusca; Gastropoda; Neogastropoda; Conidae.